GUGGAUUAGAUACCCUGGUAGUCCACGCUGUAAACGAUGAUCACUCGUUGUUGGCGAUAUACUGUCAGCGACUGAGCGAAAGCAUUAAGUGAUCCACCUGGGGAGUACGGCGGCAACGUUGAAACUCAAAGGAAUUGACGGGGGCCCGCACAAGCGGAGGAGCAUGUGGUUUAAUUCGAUGAUACGCGAGGAACCUUACCUGGGCUUAAAUGUAGGACGACGUUUCGUGAAAGCGGAAUUUCCUUCGGGACGUCUUACAAGGUGCUGCAUGGCCGUCGCCAACU
RNAcentral lists this ribosomal RNA (284 nucleotides) under uncultured bacterium. RNAcentral describes it as "partial 16S ribosomal RNA". It matches the Rfam family "Bacterial small subunit ribosomal RNA", at positions 773 to 1060 of the family's 1533-position model. The record is from RNAcentral.